UACGUAGGGGGCAAGCGUUGUCCGGAAUCAUUGGGCGUAAAGAGCGUGUAGGCGGCUCGGUAAGUCCGCUGUAAAAGUCCAGGGCUCAACCCUGGAAAGCCGGUGGAAACUGUCGAGCUAGAGUUCGGAAGAGGCGAGUGGAAUUCCUGGUGUAGCGGUGAAAUGCGCAGAUAUCAGGAGGAACACCAAUGGCGAAGGCAGCUCGCUGGGACGGUACUGACGCUGAGACGCGAAAGCGUGGGGAGCAAACAGG
Molecule: ribosomal RNA, 253 nt
Filed under: uncultured bacterium
Lineage: Bacteria
Description: partial 16S ribosomal RNA
Rfam family: Bacterial small subunit ribosomal RNA
Source: RNAcentral